This 423-nucleotide ribosomal RNA is filed under the name Citrobacter freundii. RNAcentral's name for it is "bacterial SSU rRNA". It matches the Rfam family "Bacterial small subunit ribosomal RNA", at positions 92 to 516 of the family's 1533-position model. The record is from RNAcentral. Lineage: Bacteria; Pseudomonadati; Pseudomonadota; Gammaproteobacteria; Enterobacterales; Enterobacteriaceae.
CGAGCGGCGGACGAUUGAAAAUGGGUGGGAAACUGAUGAUGGAAGGGGACAACUCCGGAAACCGUACCUGGCGUGGAGGACCUCSAACAGCCAAGUGGGGGAUCUUCCGACCUCACCCAAUCCGAUGUGCCCACAUGGGARUAGCUAGUAGGUGAGGUAAUGGCUCUUUGUGCUUACGAUCCCUAGCUGGUCCGAGAGGAUGACCARCCUCCCUGGAACUGAGACACGGACCAUACUCCUACGGGGUUUUGCUCUGGGGAAUAUUGCACAAUGGGCGCACGCCUGAUGCAGCCAUGCCGCGGGUGUGAAGAAGGCCUURGGGUUGUAAAGCGCUUUCAGCSAGGAGGAAGGCAUCACGAUUAARACGUGUGGUGAUUGACGUUACUCACAAAARAAGCACCGCCUAACUCCUUGCCAGCUGCC